AUUGAACGCUGGCGGAAUGCUUAACACAUGCAAGUCGAGCGGGCUGUAGCAAUACAGCUAGCGGCGGACGGGUGAGAAAUACAUAGGAAUCUGCCUCAGAGUGGGGAUAGCCCGGGGAAACCGGAUUAAUACCGCAUGAUGUCGUAAGACCAAAGCAGGGGACCGUAAGGCCUUGCGCUUUGAGAUGAGCCUAUGUCGGAUUAGCUAGUUGGCGGGGUAAAAGCCCACCAAGGCGACGAUCCGUAGCUGGUCU
This 253-nucleotide ribosomal RNA is filed under the name uncultured bacterium. Its description in RNAcentral is "partial 16S ribosomal RNA". It matches the Rfam family "Bacterial small subunit ribosomal RNA", at positions 30 to 293 of the family's 1533-position model. The record is from RNAcentral.